UGGGGAAUUUUGGACAAUGGGCGAAAGCCUGAUCCAGCAAUGCCGCGUGUGUGAAGAAGGCCUUCGGGUUGUAAAGCACUUUUGUCCGGAAAGAAAUCCUUGGCUCUAAUACAGUCGGGGGAUGACGGUACCGGAAGAAUAAGCACCGGCUAACUACGUGCCAGCAGCCGCGGUAAUACGUAGGGUGCAAGCGUUAAUCGGAAUUACUGGGCGUAAAGCGUGCGCAGGCGGUUUGCUAAGACCGAUGUGAAAUCCCCGGGCUCAACCUGGGAACUGCAUUGGUGACUGGCAGGCUAGAGUAUGGCAGAGGGGGGUUAGAAUUCCACGUGUAGCAGUGAAAUGCGUAGAGAUGUGGAGGAAUACCGAUGGCGAAGGCAGCCCCCUGGGCCAAUACUGACGCUCAUGCACGAAAGGCGUGGGGGAGCAAACAGGAUUAGAUACCCUGGUAGUCCACGCCCUAAACGAUGUCAACUAGUUGUUGGGGGACUUCAUUUUCCUUAGUAACGUAGCUAACGCGUG
This 519-nucleotide ribosomal RNA is filed under the name uncultured bacterium. Its description in RNAcentral is "partial 16S ribosomal RNA". It matches the Rfam family "Bacterial small subunit ribosomal RNA", at positions 355 to 861 of the family's 1533-position model. The record is from RNAcentral.